RNAcentral lists this ribosomal RNA (480 nucleotides) under uncultured bacterium. RNAcentral describes it as "bacterial SSU rRNA". It matches the Rfam family "Bacterial small subunit ribosomal RNA", at positions 30 to 505 of the family's 1533-position model. The record is from RNAcentral.
AUUGAACGCUGGCGGAAUGCUUUACACAUGCAAGUCGAACGGCAGCACGGGGCAACCUGGUGGCGAGUGGCGAACGGGUGAGUAAUGCAUCGGAACGUGCCAUUGAGUGGGGGAUAACGUAGCGAAAGUUGCGCUAAUACCGCAUAUUCUGUGAGCAGGAAAGCAGGGGACCGCAAGGCCUUGCGCUCUUUGAGCGGCCGAUGUCAGAUUAGCUAGUUGGUAGGGUAAAGGCCUACCAAGGCGACGAUCGGUAGCUGGUCUGAGAGGAUGAUCAGCCACACUGGGACUGAGACACGGCCCAGACUCCUACGGGAGGCAGCAGUGGGGAAUAUUGGACAAUGGGCGCAAGCCUGAUCCAGCAAUGCCGCGUGUGUGAAGAAGGCCUGCGGGUUGUAAAGCACUUUUGUUCGGGAAGAAAUCAUGCUGGUUAAUACCUGGUAUGGAUGACGGUACCGAAAGAAUAAGCACCGGCUAACUUCG